Non-coding RNA from Danio rerio (zebrafish), 117 nucleotides. Lineage: Eukaryota; Metazoa; Chordata; Actinopteri; Cypriniformes; Danionidae. The record is from Rfam.
CUCCACAGCCAUGUCACCCUGCAGCCCAAGACUGGUUACUCAUUGAAGCUAAGCAGGGCUGAGCCUGGUCAGUACCUGGAUGGGAGACCACUAGGGAACACUAGGUUGCUGUUGGAA